UUUUGUUUUUUUAUCCUUGUUUCGGUCUUGAUUGUUUCUAUAGUGAUUGUGACAAUCCAUGAUAUCUUCUUUCCCCUACAUGGUUAGAUUUUAGGUUAAACUGCUAUGUACAAUAAAAUAGUGAUUCGCUGUGGGAAAGGCUUAUGUUGCAUUCCCCGAUUUAUCUCCAGCAGCAAAUACAUCGAUAAAUGUUUCAAAGUUAUGAACUCUAAGCGGCAAACAUUGGAAAACAAAUCGGUGGCUUUAUAUUUUGAAAGUUGGACGCAAAUCUAAUUUAUUGAUGUACACUAGGCCGUAUUUAAGAAUUUGAUUACCCAUUCAUGCAUUAAUACUUUGAGAAGUGUACCAAUGUGUCCUUCUAAUUCGUAUAUGAUGCAUGAACAUGGUGGUUAGCGUAUGAAUCAUCCAUUUGCCUCACGUUUUUCUUUUGGAAAGUAGACCACUGGAUAUUUCACCCGUCUUGACAUGUAGAGUAUUUUGGAGCAGUACUGUACUUGACAUGCAUAAUUAUAUUUACUUCAUUUGAUGUAGAUUCCAACUCAAUCCAUAUUACUAGAGAUGACCUUCUACAUGCGUUAUGAAUAUAUGACCUAUAAUUCUUUUACCGAUUUUAUUUGCUCUUUAUAAUUCAUUGAUACUAUUACAUUAGUAUACUGAAAUAAAAGUAGUGCAUGUAGAUUAAGAAAAUCUUCAUUUCAACAUAAUGCAAGCCUUUGCCAUGAUUGUCCUUCUUCUUGGUACUUAUUUAUUUAGCAUCUGAAUUAAGUGUUAUGUCCCUAUUAUUGUUGUCCCUGUGCAUCUUAAUUAAGUGUUAUGGCUCUACUAGAAAACGCAUCAUGUCCCUUCUUUUCUAUUUUUUAAGAAAAUGGUUCUCACAAUCUGAUUUAAGGGAGCAAGACAUCAUCAGGUUUACUUACUGAUGUGGCCUCUGCGUCCCGUGCGCUGGUGGUGCAGUCCGCUCAGAUCAGACACAAGCAGGUAGUUGUAGAUACCGUAUCUUCAAACGAGGUACUCAUAGCAUCUAUAGAGUGGGCCAAUAUUCGAAAAGAGCACAAGACUUGAGGAUUUGAGCAUGCUUGUAGGCUAGAAGCAUCACCUUCAGACUUCGUCACUUGUUGACAGUCUAAAAUUGACCCUGAACUGAUAUGGGCACUUGCUAAGCAAGAUGUCAAAGACAAGCACCAGCUGAAGAUGAAAUAGAAAAUACAGCCGGUAAAGGCACCAACGAAGGAAAACCUUCAGGCGUCAAACAUGAUGGAAGGAUGUUGGAUGGUCAGUGACGACUUGGUUGGAGGGGAUGCGGUAGGAGGAGGGCGCAAAGGGGCGGGAGGGGUGGCCGCCGGGGAGGCGGAGCUGUGCCGGCCACCGCAAGUGAGGAAGAGGAUGGAGCUUGGUGCAGCAGAAGGGGAGAGCCUCAAGGGGUUGGAGCGAUGACUACUCUGCCCUCGCCAGCUUCCGCCGCCGCUCCUCCCUUGCGCAGCCGCCACCGUCCACGGGUUCGGGCGUCGUCUCGGAAAUUGAGGAGCCGUUCGGCCCGCUCAGGGGCGUGGCCAUCGGUGUCCAGCGUGCUGCUCGACGGCCGUUUCUGCAACGUCUGAGGAAGAAGAGAAGGAGGAUAUCAAGCAGGGGAUGUUGGGCUCUAAUGGUUGGAGGUAGCCAUGACUGCCAGUGGUAGCCAGAGAGGUCGUUUGGCUGCUUUGUAUAUGGCACAAGGAGGAAGGGAGCUGGAGACGACGAUGGAACCAAACAAUCCUACAUCAACAACAGAACCAAACAAUCCUACAUCAACAACAGGUGCUCCCGAGCGAUGGCGGCGGCGGCAGGGAGCGCGCGCCUGAGCGAGGAGGGGGUUUGAAGUGUCCGUGCCAGCAACCUCACCGUCUCCAACCUAUCUGCAGGUGAGCAACGAAUUUGAGACUUGUUCUUGGUUUUUCUGCAGUUCGUGGAGCGGGUCCGAAGCAGUUGGGUAGCAGCCCUCAAAUUAGGUGGGAGUUGCUUACUGUACAGCCAAAAGAGUGUGGAUUUUGUACACCCACGCAUGGGUGGUCUGGACCGGGAGGCCUGAGAGCUCCACUUCACCAGGCGUGGCCUAGCGCCAUCUGCCCCGAAAUUACUCCGACAUUUGACGCCGGGAAGAGAUCCCGCGACAUUUGACGCCGGGAAGCAGCUUCUCGCGCGCAAAGGGAGGCGGCUCGCCGGCUCGGGCGAGAAGGUACUGGGGAGGUGGCUCGCGCGAGAAGGGACUAGGGACGUUGUCUGCAUCCGGAAGAGAAGCAGGGGGCGGAGGUUACGUGAAACCCAGCGUUGGAUACGAUGGCCAUGGCGAUGCUGAAGAAGCAUACCCUGCCGAUGGGGAGGAGAACGAAGGGAUCGUGAUCUUUGUACAUGACGAGGUUGUUGCCGGCCAUGUCGUCGAGGAGGAGCAUGUGGCGGAGAACAUGGGCGCCGGUGGCGUCGAGCUUGCAGCUGUGAUUGUACAGCUUGAGGACGGCAACUCUUCUUCAUAUGCUGGGUACCAAGCGUCGACGAGGUGCUUAGCCACCGUCAACGUUUUGGCGACGAAGGCGUUUGGAGCAUCAUGCUGCGACGCGUCUGGGCUCGGCUCCUUUGAUUCUUAUUUGGUCGUCACGCAGGAGUUUAUCGUCAGUUAGUGUUUUGAUUGCCAGUUAGCAAUGCCUUCCUCUCGUUCAGUACCAAGUUAUCAAAGUAGUUCAAGUGUUUAUUUUGGGAUCCUUGUUAGCCGAUGACAUUUAAGGAAGGAAAUCAUUCUUGUACUGGAUACUUGUGAUGUGUAAUAUCAUCCAUGUCUUAGAUGUGUUUAUCAAUGA
Molecule: long non-coding RNA, 2828 nt
Organism: Lolium perenne
Lineage: Eukaryota; Viridiplantae; Streptophyta; Magnoliopsida; Poales; Poaceae
Source: RefSeq, a predicted model, not a curated record